This 1321-nucleotide ribosomal RNA is filed under the name Wormaldia spinosa. Its description in RNAcentral is "16S ribosomal RNA". The record is from RNAcentral. Lineage: Eukaryota; Metazoa; Arthropoda; Insecta; Trichoptera; Philopotamidae.
AAAAUUUUAAUAAUUUUAUUUAAAAAAAAAUUAUUUAAAAUAAAAUAAUAUAAGUUAUUAAGAAGAAAUUUUAGUAUAAAUUAGAAAAAAAAAAUAUUUUAUAGUUAAAUUGUAUUGUCUAAGAAAAAUAAUAUUAAAUAUAAUUUUUUAUAAAGUAUUAUUAAUUUUAUGUAUCUUGGGUAUCAGAGUUUAUUAAAUAAAAUUUAUUUAAAUAAAAUUCUCGAAAAUAAAAGAGUUAUUUAAUUAUAGGAGUUAAUAUGGAAUUAUUAUUUUAUAUAAUUAAAUAGAAAUGAGAUGUUAUUCGUUUUUUUAAAUAUCUAGUUUAAAAAUAAAUAAAUUUAAUUUAGGAUAAAAUUUAUUAUAUAUAUAUAUAUAUAUAUAUAUAUAAUUUUGAUUUAAUAAUUUAAGGGAUAAGCUUUAAAUUAAAUUUUUAUAUUAGAGAAAAUAUUUUUAAAAUUAAUAUAAAUAGUAUUUUUAAUUAAUUGAAAUUUUUUAUAAAUAUUUUUAUAAAGUUUAAUAUUUUAUUUAAAAUUAAAUGAUAUAUUUUUAAAAUAAUAAUUUUUAGAAAAAAUGAUAUAAUGAUAAAAUUAGUAUAUAAAGAAUCUAAAAUUAGUUUGAGAAUUUGGAUAAAAAAUUAAUUUAAAGAAUUCGGCAAAAUGAUAUAUUUACCUGUUUAACAAAAACAUGUCUUAAAGAGUUUUAAUUUUAAGUCUAAUCUGCCCACUGAAUUUAAAUUUGAAGGGCCGCAGUAUUUUGACUGUGCUAAGGUAGCAUAAUAAUUAGUUUUUUAAUUGAAAACUAGAAUGAAUGAUUGAAUAAAAUAUAAGCUGUUUUAAAUUAAUUUAAAUUGAAUUUAAUUUUUUAGUGAAAAAGCUAAAAUUUUUGUAGAAGACGAGAAGACCCUAUAGAUCUUAUAUAGUUGAUUUACUUUUGCAAUAAAUUAUUUAUUUAUAAGAAAAUUAAUUAUUAAAUUGGGGUGAUUAAAAAAUUAGAUAAAUUUUUUUAGUUUAAGAUCAAUGAUUUUUGAAUUUUUUAUCUAUUAUUAAUUAAUUAAGAAAAAGUUACCUUAGGGAUAACAGCAUAAUUUUAAUUUUAAGUUCUUAUUGAAAUUAGAGAUUGUGACCUCGAUGUUGGAUUAAGAUUAAAUAUAAAUGCAAAAGUUUAAAAUUUGAGUCUGUUCGACUUUUAAAAUCUUACAUGAUCUGAGUUCAGACCGGCGUGAGCCAGGUUGGUUUCUAUCUUUAAAAAAAUUAAAUAUUUUAGUACGAAAGGAUUUAAUAUUUAUAUGUUUAUUUAUAUAUUAGAAAAUUGAUUAAUGUUA